CGCGGCCUUUCAGCUUGUUGGUGAGGUAAUGGCUCACCAAGGCGACGACGGGUAGCCGGCCUGAGAGGGCGACCGGCCACACUGGGACUGAGACACGGCCCAGACUCCUACGGGAGGCAGCAGUGGGGAAUAUUGCACAAUGGGCGAAAGCCUGAUGCAGCGACGCCGCGUGAGGGAUGACGGCCUUCGGGUUGUAAACCUCUUUCAGCAGGGAAGAAGCGCAAGUGACGGUACCUGCAGAAGAAGCGCCGGCUAACUACGUGCCAGCAGCCGCGGUAAUACGUAGGGCGCAAGCGUUGUCCGGAAUUAUUGGGCGUAAAGAGCUCGUAGGCGGCUUGUCACGUCGGGUGUGAAAGCCCGGGGCUUAACCCCGGGUCUGCAUUCGAUACGGGCUAGCUAGAGUGUGGUAGGGGAGAUCGGAAUUCCUGGUGUAGCGGUGAAAUGCGCAGAUAUCAGGAGGAACACCGGUGGCGAAGGCGGAUCUCUGGGCCAUUACUGACGCUGAGGAGCGAAAGCGUGGGGAGCGAACAGGAUUAGAUACCCUGGUAGUCCACGCCGUAAACGGUGGGAACUAGGUGUUGGCGACAUUCCACGUCGUCGGUGCCGCAGCUAACGCAUUAAGUUCCCCGCUGGGG
This 635-nucleotide ribosomal RNA is filed under the name Streptomyces sp. LV1. Its description in RNAcentral is "bacterial SSU rRNA". It matches the Rfam family "Bacterial small subunit ribosomal RNA", at positions 232 to 877 of the family's 1533-position model. Lineage: Bacteria; Bacillati; Actinomycetota; Actinomycetes; Kitasatosporales; Streptomycetaceae. The record is from RNAcentral.